Molecule: ribosomal RNA, 489 nt
Filed under: uncultured bacterium
Lineage: Bacteria
Description: partial 16S ribosomal RNA
Rfam family: Bacterial small subunit ribosomal RNA
Source: RNAcentral
GACGAACGCUGGCGGCGUGCUUAACACAUGCAAGUCGAACGGUGAAGGGAUCAGCUUGCUGGUUCUGGAUGAGUGGCGAACGGGUGAGUAACACGUGAGUAACCUGCCCCCUUCUUCUGGAUAACCGCAUGAAAGUGUGGCUAAUACGGGAUAUUCUGCGCCUGCUGCAUGGUGGGUGUGGGAAAGAUAUUGUUUCGGUGGGGGAUGGGCUCGCGGCCUAUCAGCUUGUUGGUGGGGUGAUGGCCUACCAAGGCGGUGACGGGUAGCCGGCCUGAGAGGGUGGACGGUCACACUGGGACUGAGACACGGCCCAGACUCCUACGGGAGGCAGCAGUGGGGAAUAUUGCACAAUGGGCGCAAGCCUGAUGCAGCGACGCCGCGUGAGGAAUGGAGGCCUUCGGGUUGUGAACCUCUUUCGCCAGUGAAGCAGGCCUGUCCCUUGUGGGUGGGUUGACGGUAGCUGGAUAAGAAGCGCCGGCUAACUACGUG